RNAcentral lists this ribosomal RNA (515 nucleotides) under uncultured bacterium. Its description in RNAcentral is "partial 16S ribosomal RNA". It matches the Rfam family "Bacterial small subunit ribosomal RNA", at positions 28 to 523 of the family's 1533-position model. The record is from RNAcentral.
GAUGAACGCUGGCGGCGUGCCUAAUACAUGCAAGUCGAGCGAAUGGAUUAAGAGCUUGCUCUUAUGAAGUUAGCGGCGGACGGGUGAGUAACACGUGGGUAACCUGCCCAUAAGACUGGGAUAACUCCGGGAAACCGGGGCUAAUACCGGAUAACAUUUUGAACCGCAUGGUUAGAAAUUGAAAGGCGGCUUCGGCUGUCACUUAUGGAUGGACCCGCGUCGCAUUAGCUAGUUGGUGAGGUAACGGCUCUCCAAGGCAACGAUGCGUAGCCGACCUGAGAGGGGGAUCGGCCACACUGGGACUGAGACACGGCCCAGACUCCUACGGGAGGCAGCAGUAGGGAAUCUUCCGCAAUGGACGAAAGUCUGACGGAGCAACGCCGCGUGAGUGAUGAAGGCUUUCGGGUCGUAAAACUCUGUUGUUAGGGAAGAACAAGUGCUAGUUGUAUAAGCUGGCACCUUGACGGUACCUAACCAGAAAGCCACGGCUAACUACGUGCCAGCCGCCGCGGUAA